AGCGAACGCUGGCGGCAGGCCUAACACAUGCAAGUCGAACGGAUCCUUCGGGAUUAGUGGCGGACGGGUGAGUAACACGUGGGAACGUGCCCUUUGGUUCGGAACAACUCAGGGAAACUUGAGCUAAUACCGGAUGUGCCCUUCGGGGGAAAGAUUUAUCGCCAUUGGAGCGGCCCGCGUCUGAUUAGCUAGUUGGUGAGGUAACGGCCCACCAAGGCGACGAUCAGUAGCUGGUCUGAGAGGAUGAUCAGCCACACUGGGACUGAGACACGGCCCAGACUCCUACGGGAGGCAGCAGGGGGGGAUCUUGCGCAAUGGGCGAAAGCCUGACGCAGCCAUGCCGCGUGAAUGAUGAAGGUCUUAGGAUUGUAAAAUUCUUUCAGCGGGGACGAUAAUGACGGUACCCGCAGAAGAAGCUCCGGCUAACUUCGUG
This 433-nucleotide ribosomal RNA is filed under the name uncultured bacterium. RNAcentral describes it as "partial 16S ribosomal RNA". It matches the Rfam family "Bacterial small subunit ribosomal RNA", at positions 29 to 507 of the family's 1533-position model. The record is from RNAcentral.